This 468-nucleotide ribosomal RNA is filed under the name uncultured bacterium. RNAcentral's name for it is "partial 16S ribosomal RNA". It matches the Rfam family "Bacterial small subunit ribosomal RNA", at positions 28 to 507 of the family's 1533-position model. The record is from RNAcentral.
GACGAACGCUGGCGGCGUGCUUAACACAUGCAAGUCGAACGGAAAGGCCCUGCUUUUGUGGGGUUCUCGAGUGGCGAACGGGUGAGUAACACGUGAGUAACCUGCCCUUGACUUUGGGAUAACUUCAGGAAACUGGGGCUAAUACCGGAUAGGAGCUCCUGCUCCAUGGUGGGGGUUGGAAAGUUUCGGCGGUUGGGGAUGGACUCGCGGCUUAUCAGCUUGUUGGUGGGGUAGUGGCUUACCAAGGCUUUGACGGGUAGCCGGCCUGAGAGGGGGAACGGCCACAUUGGGACUGAGAUACGGCCCAGACGGCUACGGGAGGCAGCAGUGGGGAAUAUUGCACAAUGGGCGGAAGCCUGAUGCAGCAACGCCGCGUGCGGGAUGACGGCCUUCGGGUUGUAAAACGCUUUCGCCUGUGACGAAGCGUGAGUGACGGUAAUGGGUAAAGAAGCACCGGCUAACUACGUG